CCAAUCACUUAGACCGGGUCAAUGAGCAAUUAAUAUGGUUCAUGGCCUAGGUUGGCGACCUCCAUUGCACUUCGGAGGGGUGCCCGCCUAAGGUUGGCCCAAGUGGUUGAGCCUACGUCAUCAUUUGUGCCAGUAAAGGCCUGUGUUUGCGCUGUCUCUAC
Helianthus annuus (common sunflower) is the source of this 161-nucleotide non-coding RNA. The record is from Rfam. Lineage: Eukaryota; Viridiplantae; Streptophyta; Magnoliopsida; Asterales; Asteraceae.